Molecule: ribosomal RNA, 286 nt
Filed under: uncultured Methylomirabilota bacterium
Lineage: Bacteria; Methylomirabilota (SeqCode)
Description: uncultured candidate division NC10 bacterium partial 16S ribosomal RNA
Rfam family: Bacterial small subunit ribosomal RNA
Source: RNAcentral
UCGUGUCGUGAGAUGUUGGGUUAAGUCCCGCAACGAGCGCAACCCUCACCUCUUGUUGCCACCAGGUCAUGCUGGGCACUCUAGAGGAACUGCCCCGGUCAACGGGGAGGAAGGCGGGGAUGACGUCAAGUCAUCAUGCCCCUUACGUCCUGGGCUACACACGUGCUACAAUGGCCGGUACAAAGGGAUGCCACACCGCGAGGUAGAGCUAAACCCAAAAAGCCGGUCUAAGUUCAGGUUGGAGUCUGCAACACGACUCCAUGAAGGAGGAAUCGCUAGUAAUCGC